CCACAAGGGGUUAGGCCACCGGCUUCGGGUGUUACCGACUUUCGUGACUUGACGGGCGGUGUGUACAAGGCCCGGGAACGUAUUCACCGCAGCGUUGCUGAUCUGCGAUUACUAGCGACUCCGACUUCAUGGGGUCGAGUUGCAGACCCCAAUCCGAACUGAGACCGGCUUUUUGGGAUUCGCUCCACCUCGCGGUAUCGCAGCCCUUUGUACCGGCCAUUGUAGCAUGCGUGAAGCCCAAGACAUAAGGGGCAUGAUGAUUUGACGUCAUCCCCACCUUCCUCCGAGUUGACCCCGGCAGUCUCCUAUGAGUCCCCACCAUGACGUGCUGGCAACAUAGGACGAGGGUUGCGCUCGUUGCGGGACUUAACCCAACAUCUCACGACACGAGCUGACGACAACCAUGCACCACCUGUACACCAGUCCGAAGACGCACACAUCUCUGCAUGAUUCCGGUGUAUGUCAAGCCUUGGUAAGGUUCUUCGCGUUGCAUCGAAUUAAUCCGCAUGCUCCGCCGCUUGUGCGGGCCCCCGUCAAUUCCUUUGAGUUUUAGCCUUGCGGCCGUACUCCCCAGGCGGGGCACUUAAUGCGUUAGCUGCGGCGCGGAACUCGUGGAAUGAGCCCCACACCUAGUGCCCAACGUUUACGGCAUGGACUACCAGGGUAUCUAAUCCUGUUCGCUCCCCAUGCUUUCGCUCCUCAGCGUCAGUAGUGGCCCAGUGACCUGCCUUCGCCAUCGGUGUUCCUCCUGAUAUCUGCGCAUUCCACCGCUACACCAGGAAUUCCAGUCACCCCUACCACACUCUAGUCUGCCCGUACCCGAUGCAAGCUCAAGGUUGAGCCUUGAGUUUUCACACCAGACGCGACAAACCGCCUACGAGCUCUUACGCCCAAUAAUUCCGGACACGCUUGCGCCCUACGUAUUACCGCGGCUGCUGGCACGUAGUUAGCCGGCGCUUCUUCUGCAGGUACCGUCACUU
RNAcentral lists this ribosomal RNA (980 nucleotides) under Sanguibacter sp. RNAcentral's name for it is "partial 16S ribosomal RNA". The record is from RNAcentral. Lineage: Bacteria; Bacillati; Actinomycetota; Actinomycetes; Micrococcales; Sanguibacteraceae.